Molecule: non-coding RNA, 45 nt
Filed under: Trypanosoma brucei brucei
Lineage: Eukaryota; Euglenozoa; Kinetoplastea; Trypanosomatida; Trypanosomatidae
Source: RNAcentral
AACAUCAAAAUAAGUAAGUCGUAGUAGAAGUGAUUAGAUUAAAUG